Chrysemys picta bellii (western painted turtle) is the source of this 2567-nucleotide long non-coding RNA. RefSeq lists it as uncharacterized. The record is from RefSeq and is a predicted model, not a curated record. Lineage: Eukaryota; Metazoa; Chordata; Testudines; Emydidae.
CCUUCACUGCACCGCCUUCUCCGUGAGGGCAAGAAAGCUGGACACAAGGAGCGGGGGGGGGGGACGAAAAGGAGUACAGGAGUUCGCUCCCAAUCCAGGGCAAAACCCCUCCUGAGACGAACAAUUGGGGAGGCGCUGCUCGGGGGGGGGGAGCUGCACGAGUCAGCCGAUUACACAACCCCGCGUCCCUCCAUGUUGGGGAAACCCGGACUGCCCGGUUUAGCUUUGUGCUGACCAUUGGGAUCCUGGAGCUGAACAAGCCCCAAGAUCCGUCCAUGCAAGGCUCCCUCCACAGUGAGGCUGGGUUCCUCAGGCCCUGAGCGAAGCAUGCCAAGCACUCUCACUACUUUGAUUGAAUAAGGGGCUUUCUCUGGACUGGCUUCCUUGUGCCCUCAGGGUCUCUCCAUCAUAAAAUCCUAUUUUAAUGGCUUCACAAUAAUUCAGUUCUGGAUGAAAUUUGACUUGUUCGGUCUUGGUGUGGGAAGCCACAGUAGUUUGUUUUUGCACAUGUUCCCCCUACUUCCACCACUAAGUUCAUAUUUUAUUCUAAGAAAGUAUUUAAAAAGUCACAGGCUUCAAGUGUACUUUUCUACACUUGUGAAAUUAAAUUAGAUAUGGUAUUAAAAAAAAUUCCCAGAUCAAUUCAUAAAUAUGGUUUCUUCACUUAAAAUGUUAUACUAGGGAAAAUACGGAAUUUUGUGCACAAAAGAACAUCCCAAACUUUCAGGUUUUUUCCCCCAAGAGCUCAGACCAGAGCACAUGUAUAAAAUAGUGGUGGAGCUGAAAGAGCAUUCUGGGUAUUGAUGUGCAAAUGAGAACACCAAGCUUCCAACUUCCAAAACGGAGUUAUUGUAAUAACACUUAAGGCCAUAUAGUGCCCUCAAUCUGUGUGCUGUAUUUCUGUUGAUGUCAGUGGGAGUUGCUUGUCUACAUUGAAGGCAGAGUAUUGCCAGUGUAGCUUUUUACCACUGGAUCAAGGUUUGUGUAUAUUACAUACACAAACAUGCAGUUAGGUGAUCUGACUAUUUGGAUUGCAACUGUUACAAAUCCACUUUAAAUACUCACAAGUUGCAUAGAUACUACAUGCUAGUAGUAUUGUUCUCCAGAUCUGUUUGCCUGUCACAGAAACAAGAGUACUCAAUAUAGUGAGGGAAAAAAAAAAUAUUUGUAUUUAAGCAUACAUGUCAGGCAACAAUUCACAGGCUUCACAUACAUAGUGCAAAGAGAUCAUAAGGAACUCUCUUCUCUUUUCUGACAAGUUGUGCACGAUUGGCCUGAGACUUGGAAGACUGAGUUUUUUAUUCUUUAAGUGGUGGCUGCAAUCUACCUCUCCACACCAAAUCAUCACCGGAUAUUGGCCACUGUUGGAAGAUGUGAUACUGGGCUAGAUGGACCUUUGGUCUGACCCAGUACGGCCAUUAUUAUGGAAAAGUAACUGGGAGUAUAUGUAGGUAUUUUAGUUGUCUUUAAUGUGGUAAAAGUUCAUUUGAAAAAUGUUAAUUGCUUGUCUACUUUUGCUCUUUCCCAUAUCUUCCAUUUAUCCCCUGCCCUUGCUUUCACUGCACAUGUUUCUUAGCUGGCUAAUUUUAUUCUCCUUAUUAAUCUCUAUACACUUCUCUGCAAUUUGGUUCCUUCCUUCCCUGCUUCUUGGUAGGGUCUCUAGAUGCUACUGUAAUACAGAAAAAUUGGUUCUAAUCACUAGAUAUACAUUAUCUGGAUUCCAGAGAAUUUGGACUAUGUGGAAUAAAAUUAAUGUUUUCCAUUCUUAUUUUUAUCAGUCCUAUUAUGCUUCCUAAGGUAAAGGGAAGGAAUAAUUGUCUGAUUAGGUCUUUCUUAAAGAAGUUUGAAAAACUUGAUACUUUUGUUGAAAAGAGGGUAUUUGGAUGUACAUGAUUAUUCCUAGAACUUUGUUUUACUGGAGUCCUGUAUUCUUAAUGGUGGGUGUCUUCUUAUUGUCAAUCUUAAUUUUACUUAUUUUGUAUCCAGAAAUUAAUGUGAAUGUGUGACAGGUAGAUUGCUGGGGACAUGUGUUUUAGUGAUGUAUAGUCAUGUUGGUGCUUAUAGACGUUUCUUAUAGCAGUGUUUCUCAAACUGGGGUCGGUGGACCCCUGGGGGUCCCCGAGGGUACUCCAGGGGGUCCGCGGGCCCCACUGAUCAACUCCUCCCCCUCUCUCCCAGCACCUUCUUCACGCUGGGGCAGCGCUGAUGCGGAGGAGCCGGGACCCUGGGUCCGCGCCGCUCCCAGAAGCGGCCAGCACGGGGCUGAGGGGAGCAGGGGGGUCUCCGCGCACAGUCCCUGGCCCGAGUGCUGACUUUGCAGCUCCCAUUGGCCAAAGUGCCUACGGGCAGGGGCACCGUGCGGAGACCCCCUGGCACCCCACCUAGGAGCCGCUGCCAGAGGGAUGUGGCAGUUGCUUUUAGGAGCCGCCCAAGGCAAGCACUGCACCCCUCACCUCCUUCCAUACCCCAGCCCAGCGCCCGCAUCCAAACUCCUUCUCGUACCCCUCAUCCCCUCCUGCACUCCACCCCUCUGCCCCAGCCCUGAGCCCCCUCUCGCACCCAAACUC